Molecule: non-coding RNA, 88 nt
Organism: Hypoxylon crocopeplum
Lineage: Eukaryota; Fungi; Ascomycota; Sordariomycetes; Xylariales; Hypoxylaceae
Source: the annotation of a GenBank genome assembly
GGGCGUGUAGCUCAUUUGGUAGAGCGCUCGCUUCGCACACUUUGGUGAGAAUUGCGAGAGGUACCGGGUUCGAUUCCCUGCUCGUCCA